This 258-nucleotide long non-coding RNA is filed under the name Mytilus galloprovincialis (Mediterranean mussel). Lineage: Eukaryota; Metazoa; Mollusca; Bivalvia; Mytilida; Mytilidae. The record is from RNAcentral.
GUGUGAAAGCCGAAACAAGCACAAAGUCGAACAGCAUCGAGGACCAAAAGAUAAAAAAAGUUGUGCCAAAAACGGCCAGGGUUUUCUGUUAGUUACCAGAACAUCCUUAUCAUUUAGAAUAAUUUAUACUUUUGCAAACAGUAAAUUUAUAAAAUUAAUAAACAAAAGCUGUACAUGAUAGAACUGAAAUAUUAACUAAUUACAGGAAACAACUGAAAUACAUUACAUAACCAGACAUUUGCAACACAAUAUGUAGAC